CUUGAUCGAACCGAGGUAGAGCGGCCGGUCCGCAGGGCGCUCCUCGCCGUACGUGGCGAUCAGCGCCUGCGCCUC
This 75-nucleotide antisense RNA is filed under the name Streptomyces sp. 3211.6. Its description in RNAcentral is "ASpks TB sRNA". It matches the Rfam family "ASpks TB sRNA". The record is from RNAcentral. RNAcentral also lists the same sequence under 1 other name. Lineage: Bacteria; Bacillati; Actinomycetota; Actinomycetes; Kitasatosporales; Streptomycetaceae.